This 490-nucleotide ribosomal RNA is filed under the name uncultured bacterium. Its description in RNAcentral is "partial 16S ribosomal RNA". It matches the Rfam family "Bacterial small subunit ribosomal RNA", at positions 30 to 507 of the family's 1533-position model. The record is from RNAcentral.
AUUGAACGCUGGCGGCAGGCCUAACACAUGCAAGUCGAACGGUAACAGGAAGAAGCUUGCUUCUUUGCUGACGAGUGGCGGACGGGUGAGUAAUGUCUGGGAAACUGCCUGAUGGAGGGGGAUAACUACUGGAAACGGUAGCUAAUACCGCAUAACGUCGCAAGACUAAAGAGGGGGACCUUCGGGCCUCUUGCCAUCGGAUGUGCCCAGCUGGGAUUAGCUAGUAGGUGGGGUAACGGCUCACCUAGGCGACGAUCCCUAGCUGGUCUGAGAGGAUGACCAGCCACACUAGAACUGAGACACGGUCCAGGCGCCUACGGGAGGCCGCAGUGGGGAAUAUUGCACAAUGGGCGCAAGCCUGAUGCAGCCAUGCCGCGUGUAUGAAGAAGGCCUUCGGGUUGUAAAGUACUUUCAGCGGGGAGGAAGGGAGUAAAGUUAAUACCUUUGCUCAUUGACGUUACCCGCAGAAGAAGCACCGGCUAACUCCGUG